RNAcentral lists this ribosomal RNA (253 nucleotides) under uncultured bacterium. Its description in RNAcentral is "partial 16S ribosomal RNA". It matches the Rfam family "Bacterial small subunit ribosomal RNA", at positions 524 to 776 of the family's 1533-position model. The record is from RNAcentral.
UACAGAGGUCUCAAGCGUUGUUCGGAUUCAUUGGGCGUAAAGGGUGCGUAGGCGGCGCGGUAAGUCGGGUGUGAAAUCUUGGAGCUUAACUCCGAAACUGCAUUCGAUACUGCCGUGCUUGAGGACUGGAGAGGAGACUGGAAUUUACGGUGUAGCGGUGAAAUGCGUAGAUAUCGAGAGGAACACCGGCGGCGAAGGCGGCCAACUGGACGAAUACUGACGCUGAGACACGAAAGCGUGGGGAGCAAACAGG